This is a long non-coding RNA of Solea solea (common sole), 695 nucleotides long. RefSeq lists it as uncharacterized. The transcript is spliced from 5 exons. The record is from RefSeq and is a predicted model, not a curated record. NCBI's taxonomy places the organism in Eukaryota, Metazoa, Chordata, Actinopteri, Pleuronectiformes, Soleidae.
GCGAGACAUCAUCUCACUCGUAUAUACGAUCUUUGUUUUUGUUUGUUUCCCUUCCUGCCCGGUGCAGGUGGAAGUGAGUGAAGUUCCGUAGCUUUGAGCUAAAUACACCUAAAGUCAAAGGGUUGAAUUGAAACAUUGAAAUAAGAAUUAAACCUUUAAAAAACAAGAUAUGACUGAGAAGCUGUUGACAUCGUGUUGAACUGCGUCGGACUCCUGAGAAGCUGUUCAUUGAUAUUCCGUGUUUGGAUGUGAUGGACAGGCGACUUGUCCACGCUCCAGCUGGGAUUGGCUCCAGCGACCCCUGUGACCCUCGUGAGGAUAUUCACGUGUCUUGCCCAGGGACACGUCGACAUGUAGACGACCUUCCUCCUGAUCCAUCGCUGCCCACAAAGCUCCUGGUCCGGGCUGUGUUGACCGGCUCCGGCUCGAGUCGUGACCGUCCUCCUCUCCGGACGAGCAGCUCAGUUAUUCAUGAUCAGCUGACGACGUGGAGUUGCUGAUGACAUCACUUCCUGCAAGCUCACCUGUGUGAGUUAGUAUUUCCUGUUGUGGUCCUGCUCCUCCUGGUUGCUCUGAGGGUGAAGCAGACUCUGGACGAUAUCCACAUUUGAAAAGUGAAGCCCAGGACGUGAGGUGAAAGUAGCAGUUAGCCACCAGGGGGCGACUCCACUGGCUGCUAAGAGAAGGCCUCGCUU